Long non-coding RNA from Pocillopora damicornis (cauliflower coral), 646 nucleotides. The record is from RefSeq and is a predicted model, not a curated record. Lineage: Eukaryota; Metazoa; Cnidaria; Anthozoa; Scleractinia; Pocilloporidae.
GGACCACACGAAUUACUUCAGGCACUGUCUUCAAGCGCGCUGUUGAAUAGAGGCAAGUGCCCAACCACUUCUUUGCUUUGUGAUUUAAGCUGUGAUUUCGUCUUAAUGGGUGGCUAUUAAGAAUAUUGCAGCAAGUGGUAAGAGUGUUUGUUGACCGCUGGGAACGUUCGCUACAGUGCUACGAUAGCCUGUUUGGACUGAUGUAUGCAGUGGGAACCGAGGCAUUGUAGCGUCAUAAGUGAAAUUACCGAGGAAUUCCAGGAAAACAGGCUUAUCCAGCUGAUUGCGUAAUAUAAUGAUUGUCUUCGGGAGAGAUUUGAAGGAUUGUUUGCUUAGUGUGAAAUCUUUGCCAUCUCGGCACACGGAUUGCGGAAAUGGCGGCGACUGGCUCGAACACAUCAGACAAACUGGUGCGGUUCAACAGGGUGUGGACAAGUAGGUUUAGUAAAUGCACAAAAGAUUAUAGCCACUUAAUGUCCUGAUCACCAUCAUUGUCUUAGCCAUCUUUUUGUUUGUUUGAAUGUGAUAAAACACUUUAACUUCGCUUUUGGGAAAAAUGCAAUUAAAUUUGCUUUUGGAGUGGAGCAGGUUAAAGGGCACCACAAAAACUAGUCUUCGAACACGAAUUUUGCAGCACCUUAAAAAA